Molecule: ribosomal RNA, 254 nt
Filed under: uncultured bacterium
Lineage: Bacteria
Description: partial 16S ribosomal RNA
Rfam family: Bacterial small subunit ribosomal RNA
Source: RNAcentral
UACGUAGGGACCAAGCGUUUGUCCGGAAUCAUUGGGCGUAAAGAGCGUGUAGGCGGCUUGUUAAGUCUUGCGUGAAAUCUCGGGGCUCAACCCCGAGCGGUCGUGAGAAACUGGCAGGCUAGAGUCCGGGAGAGGUGAGUGGAAUUCCUAGUGUAGAGGUGAAAUUCGUAGAUAUUAGGAAGAACACCAGUGGCGAAGGCGGCUCACUGGCCCGGUACUGACGCUGAGGCGCGAAAGCGUGGGGAGCAAACAGG